This is a long non-coding RNA of Capsella rubella, 581 nucleotides long. RefSeq lists it as uncharacterized. The transcript is spliced from 3 exons. The record is from RefSeq and is a predicted model, not a curated record. NCBI's taxonomy places the organism in Eukaryota, Viridiplantae, Streptophyta, Magnoliopsida, Brassicales, Brassicaceae.
UCUUCCUUCUCGUCUGUUUCUUUCUUCUGGUGUUUGCAUGUUGUGUUUGUUUGGUAGAAGUCGAUUUUGACAAACCAAACAAUUCCAAAGACGUGAUUUUCUCAAUCCAGGAUGGUUAGUUCAUGUCCAAUGACUUUACAAUAAAGGAGUGCCUUAGGCGAGAGCUUUUCAGUUUGCUAAUGAGGCAACCCGGAUUUGUUAAACAUGUCAAAGCCGGAAUGAUGCUGUUUUUGUUUGAAUUCGAGAGUUGAGAGCUACAUGGUGUAUUUAAGGCUUCCUCUGACGGUGAUAUAAACAUUGAGCCUAACGCAUUCUGGGAAACAGUUUCCUGCUCAGGUUCAGAGGCUGUUGAAGUUGUUUAGCUUGACAAAAGAAGAUAGAUCAUGGCUGAGAAAAACUGCAGUUGUUAAAAGGAACUAGGUUCGGACCCGCGUUACAGCACGGGGGAAAAUUAUCGGUUUUAAAAUUUUCAUUACAUUUACAUGUAUAUUGUAUUAUAUAGUUUUUAUAGCUGUAAGAAAAAACGCAAAUUGAGAGGUCUACUUCAUUUGCUGUUAUAAUAGUAUAAUUAAGAGAACACA